AAAAGGAAAUUUUUAGAAUAAAAUAAUAUUUUAUUAAUUAAAUAAUAUUAAAAUAUUAAUAUUUUAUUCAGUGUCAAAAUUUUUCAUGAAGGAGUAUAUGGGCAACCUAAGUGGGGAAGAAGAAGAAUGAGAAAAAUUUUGGAGAAAAAUGACGUUAAUGGGGUCGCGUGUCUUUAUUAAGUAAAGAUAGCACAAGUAAAUAAAUAUUUUAAAUAUUAUGGAGACACCACGUUAGAGUACAAACUUCAUACUUUGUUUGUACAUGUGUAGAAAAAGAUAAUAUUAGGAAAUUGGAGUUAAAUGAGUGUUGGGAGGACUAAGUUAAGAUGGAAAGAAACUUAAAGGGAAAAACAGUAAUUUUGGAUAAAGUUUGGUCAAAGCUUCCAAAAGAAGCUUUGACUCUCAUCUUUAUCAACCCAAAACCGUCCUUAUCCUCCCAGCAAGAUAUUUUCUUCUUCAUUCUUGAAGCUUCCAACGCCAUUCUCUCAUUCUCCCAUGGAAAGCUAAUUUUCUUUCAUUUACUUUCCUUCUUUUCUUUUCAUUUCUUUUCUCUUCUUGCUUCUUUCUUCUCCUAACUUCUUGUGCACCAAAGUUACUGUCAUGACCCGGCACUCCCCUCAAGCCAGUGACAACCGUCGCGGUGUCUUGAUCGACACUCAUUGCUCGGAAUGUCAACCAAAAUCCUGCAAGGCUUUAAUAUUAGUUUCUCAUUUCCCCUGUGAGUAACUGUUACCAAAUAUCAUGUUCUAAAAGAUUUGAAGCUAUUUCCAACUUAAAUCAAUAAAAAAAAUGAUUUCUAUCUCAUAGAGGUAUUUUGGUUAUUUUUUUCCAAAAAUCUCGAAACCAGCUAAAAAUGUAGUAUGCGAGUGGAAAACACAUAUUUCAUAAUCAAAAAUAAGUUUAGAUGCCUAAAACAUUCAUUUAAAAUGAAAUUAUGACUAUUUGAAUAUAAUAAAAAUAUUCAAUAAAAUAUUCUAUUUUCUUAUAAAACAAUAUUUAUAGAAUUACCAGUAAAUAAAUUUUAUAGCGUAAAAGCUAAAUAAAUUCAUACAUACUGUAAUACAGAUAACCAAAGUAUAAAAUUAAUUUACAGUGACACGUGGGCCCACGAAUGACUAAAAGUAUCAAAAGUGGCAAACCUACAGUUUUUGAGGAUGCAAGUCCAAUUGUAGCCCUUAACAAAGUGAGCUAUCUACCGACUAUCCUGAGCCUAAAAUGGGUGGAAAGGAGGGUGGUGAGAUUAUAUAAUCCCAGUGAGUAAACAAAUACCAUCUAAAAUAUCUAAAACUGAGUAAAUGGAAACAGAUAAAAUAGAUUAGCAUAAAAAUGAUUCUCAGCAUUUUGAACUCAUUUUAAUAAGAUAAAAUAGAUUCAUUUCACCAAAAUAAACAACGAGGCUUAUGAUUUCCUGAAAAGUUUGGCUCGUGCCAAAAUCAUUCUCAUACUCAAUUAUCAGGGAUACCUUGACCGAGGGCUAUCCCAACUGAGUCGGCCAAGGCUGUUAAAAAGUCAUGUACGCAUAAAUCAUGUUUUUUUUUUUAUUUUGAAAACAUAGUCGUUCCUUGGCAUUGGCUGCGUUCACCCUCACGUGGUGGUUUGGCGUGAAGUGAACUCUAAAGUUUUAACCUCAGGAGUUAUCCAACCGCGCCUCUCAUACUUAGGUAUGAAUAUAAUAGGGUUACCGUGCCCCUCAAUAGGCUGGUCCAUGGAACCCGUCCAUUGCAACGACCAAUUUAUAACCCACCAAUUCAAUAAAAUUCAACAGCAUGACAUGGCAAUUAUUUUAUUUUACAGCCUCUCAAGGCAAAUCAACAGUUCAUACAUUUUCAACACAAAUACCAAUUCAACCAUUCAUGCCAAUAUUAUCAUAAGCCAUUCAAUUCAAACCAUGAUUUAUAACACAGCAAUUAGUCUCCAAUUACUCCAUUUUCAAAGCCAUCAUUCAAUUUCAAGACAAUUUUAUAAAAUCAUUUCAUUUAAUCACAUUUUGCUUAUAAAACAUAAAGAUUUACCAUUUAAACUCAUUUUCCAUAAAAUCACAAAAACGAAUUAAAAUUCACUUUAGAUAAUCAAGAUGAUGAUAAGGUUACUCACUGUAAUGGGAAUCGAAUUUCGAGUACUCCGAUUCUUGAUCCUCGAUUUCUAUCUCUUUACUUUUGUCAAAAUGCUCACCACAUAGACAAUACACGACACAUAAUUCAAUAUACUGUGUCAUACCAUUAUAAAUCUAUUUCAGGCUCUUUACUAAUGCAUGAAAUGGGAUGUGAAACGCUCGGGUAACCAUCUAAAUAUGGUGUUCAGUAUAAGUUCAAUUGUGUACCUAAAUAAAAUGAUAUUGGCCUAAUUCGGUCUGUCACCCGAUUAAUUGGCCAAUAUGUCCAAUUCAACUCCAAAUAAUUCCAUUUUUAUCCCAAUACUCCAAAUCAUCAAACACAAAUUAAAUAACCUGAAAUAUGGCAAAAUCAUCCUCACAUUUUCUCUUGGAAAUUUCGGCCAUGGAGGGUUCACUAACAAUAUAAUUUUUCAAGCUUGAUUCUCACACCAUAAAUCACUAAUUCUUAACCAAAUCACUUGAAAUAAAAUCAAAAUCAUCAUCAAUAUUCCACAUGGAGAAUUCGGCCAAUGAUGGGUUAUGGAAGAACAUGAAAUUUUCUUGCUUGAUUUUCAUGCUACACAUCAUUAACUAACUAAAAACACUAAAAUACAUUGAAAUCUAACCAAAUCAAGCAUCAAACCUCCCUCUAAGUGUUCGGCCAGCAAGAGAUUCAUCAUGAUUUCAUAUGAUUCAACCAUGAAAAAUAAGAAAAAAUGCUUACGAAAAAGAGAUCUCAAGCUUAAUUGAAAAAUCUUACCUUUUUUUCACUUGUUUCCUUGAAUUUUCACACUUUUCCUUUGAAUUUUUCCACCUAGAGUUUUGUUCUUCCUUUUUCUUCCUUUGUUCUUGCUUUGGC
Molecule: long non-coding RNA, 2951 nt
Filed under: Theobroma cacao (cacao)
Lineage: Eukaryota; Viridiplantae; Streptophyta; Magnoliopsida; Malvales; Malvaceae
Description: long non-coding RNA (TCAC_LNC003311)
Source: RNAcentral